ACAAUGGAGAGUUUGAUCCUGGCUCAGGAUGAACGCUAGCGGGAGGCCUAACACAUGCAAGCCGAGCGGUAGAAGAUCUUCGGAUCUUUGAGAGCGGCGCACGGGUGCGGAACACGUGUGCAACCUGCCUUUAUCAGGGGGAUAGCCUUUCGAAAGGAAGAUUAAUACCCCAUAAUAUAAUGACUGGCAUCAGUUAUUAUUGAAAACUCCGGUGGAUAGAGAUGGGCACGCGCAAGAUUAGAUAGUUGGUGAGGUAACGGCUCACCAAGUCUGCGAUCUUUAGGGGGCCUGAGAGGGUGAUCCCCCACACUGGUACUGAGACACGGACCAGACUCCUACGGGAGGCAGCAGUGAGGAAUAUUGGACAAUGGGUGAGAGCCUGAUCCAGCCAUCCCGCGUGAAGGACGACGGCCCUAUGGGUUGUAAACUUCUUUUGUAUAGGGAUAAACCUACUCUCGUGAGAGUAGCUGAAGGUACUAUACGAAUAAGCACCGGCUAACUCCGUGCCAGCAGCCGCGGUAAUACGGAGGGUGCAAGCGUUAUCCGGAUUUAUUGGGUUUAAAGGGUCCGUAGGCUGAUUUGUAAGUCAGUGGUGAAAUCUCACAGCUCAACUGUGAAACUGCCAUUGAUACUGCAAGUCUUGAGUGUUGUUGAAGUAGCUGGAAUAAGUAGUGUAGCGGUGAAAUGCAUAGAUAUUACUUAGAACACCAAUUGCGAAGGCAGGUUACUAAGCAACAACUGACGCUGAUGGACGAAAGCGUGGGGAGCGAACAGGAUUAGAUACCCUGGUAGUCCACGCCGUAAACGAUGCUAACUCGUUUUUGGGUUUUCGGAUUCAGAGACUAAGCGAAAGUGAUAAGUUAGCCACCUGGGGAGUACGUUCGCAAGAAUGAAACUCAAAGGAAUUGACGGGGGCCCGCACAAGCGGUGGAUUAUGUGGUUUAAUUCGAUGAUACGCGAGGAACCUUACCAAGGCUUAAAUGGGAAUUGACAGGUUUAGAAAUAGACUUUUCUUCGGACAAUUUUCAAGGUGCUGCAUGGUUGUCGUCAGCUCGUGCCGUGAGGUGUUAGGUUAAGUCCUGCAACGAGCGCAACCCCUGUCACUAGUUGCCAUCAUUCAGUUGGGGACUCUAGUGAGACUGCCUACGCAAGUAGAGAGGAAGGUGGGGAUGACGUCAAAUCAUCACGGCCCUUACGCCUUGGGCCACACACGUAAUACAAUGGCCAGUACAGAGGGCAGCUACACAGCGAUGUGAUGCAAAUCUCGAAAGCUGGUCUCAGUUCGGAUUGGAGUCUGCAACUCGACUCUAUGAAGCUGGAAUCGCUAGUAAUCGCGCAUCAGCCAUGGCGCGGUGAAUACGUUCCCGGGCCUUGUACACACCGCCCGUCAAGCCAUGGAAGUCUGGGGUACCUGAAGUCGGUGACCGUAACAGGAGCUGCCUAGGGUAAAACAGGUAACUAGGGCUAAGUCGUAACAAGGUAGCCGUACCGGAAGGUGCGGCUGGAACAUCUCAUUU
RNAcentral lists this ribosomal RNA (1517 nucleotides) under Chryseobacterium pyrolae. RNAcentral describes it as "bacterial SSU rRNA". It matches the Rfam family "Bacterial small subunit ribosomal RNA". The record is from RNAcentral. Lineage: Bacteria; Pseudomonadati; Bacteroidota; Flavobacteriia; Flavobacteriales; Weeksellaceae.